RNAcentral lists this ribosomal RNA (511 nucleotides) under uncultured Acidobacteriota bacterium. RNAcentral's name for it is "bacterial SSU rRNA". It matches the Rfam family "Bacterial small subunit ribosomal RNA", at positions 13 to 519 of the family's 1533-position model. Lineage: Bacteria; Pseudomonadati; Acidobacteriota. The record is from RNAcentral.
UUGAUCCUGGCUCAGAAUCAACGCUGGCGGCAUGCCUAACACAUGCAAGUCGAACGCGAAAGGGUCCUUCGGGAUCUGAGUAGAGUGGCGUCCGGGUGAUUAACGCGUAGAUUAUCUACCUUCGGGUGGGGAAUAACUCAGGGAAACUUUAGCUAAUACCGCAUAACAUCGAAAGAUCAAAGCAGGGGAUCGCAAGACCUUGCGCCUGAAGAGGAGUCUGCGUCUGAUUAGCUAGUUGGUAAGGUAAUGUCUUACCAAGGCUUCGAUCAGUAGCUGGUCUGAGAGGACGGCCAGCCACAUUGGCACUGAAACACGGGCCAAACUCCUACGGGAGGCAGCAGUGGGGAAUUUUGGGCAAUGGGCGAAAGCCUGACCCAGCAAUGCCGCGUGAACGAUGAAUUCCUUCGGGAUGUAAAGUUCGGAAGUAAGGAACGAAAAGCUUUGGGAUAUUACCCCCAAGUGCUGACGGUACCUUAUCUAAGCCCCGGCUAACUACGUGUCAGCAGCCGCU